Molecule: long non-coding RNA, 982 nt
Organism: Armigeres subalbatus
Lineage: Eukaryota; Metazoa; Arthropoda; Insecta; Diptera; Culicidae
Exons: 3
Source: RefSeq, a predicted model, not a curated record
AAAUAUUUACCAGAACCAGAAAUCAGCAAAAGUUUUCCGUUUUUCUUUGUGAAAAGAAGGGAGAGGCAUAUGCCAUAAAGACCCAUCUCAAGCCCCGAUGGGAAAGAAUUGUGAUCCGCAAAAUGCGUAACCACAGGAGCACACGGAUUGAGGACAUUUCGACCUGGAAAAAACGACUUGCUGAGAUCCUUCGCCAAUCGCGUGAAUCGGCCAGUUUCACCACAACUGGCGAGAUUGUCUACCGGAAGAAAUACAUCCUGCUGCGCAAUCGGGAUUUGAAAAUGAAACACCACAAGCACGUACUUUGACAACGAUGGAAAAUUGAUCAUCCACACCGUGCCGAAACUAUUUAUUGAUGCACACUCCCUGCGACGAUGAUGAUCCUGAGCGGUGCAUUUCCAUCGAGAGUUCCAGCAUCAACCAACCAAACAAAUCAGAAUCGCAGAAAGGACAAAAAGGAGACAAUAGGAAUCCACCAACGGAGGCCAUUAAUGGAAAUGUGUUUUAACCGGUUACUACACCUUCUGUAUCGCAACCAGGGCGACCGGACGACUGGAUCAGUAAGUUGAACGCUGAACUUACUGAGCUUUUGCGAAAGUUUUGACCCGCGGCGCGUAUCGAGCCCGAUCUGAUAUUCAUCGAAUGACGGAAGCCGGAAGCUGAGCGCUGAACCUACUGAGCUUUAGCGAAAGUUUUGACCUGCGGCGCGUAUCAUCGAAUGACGGAAGCCGUCACCACUGGAACAACGAUGAAAAUGGACGUAGGGACAUGCAUAACAACCUUAACGGAGGCGGACCUACACCACCAGCACAAUUAUUUUGCUUUUUGGUGGUGAUGUCGGCAGCAGCACUACGGUGUUUGCGGCGGCUGUGAGGAUGGACGGGGUGAUAAUGACGGCAUAUUCAUAUCAAUGGAAGUUGAAUUAAAUAAACUGAUAAUAAUUAACGAAAUGGAAAUUUAUUAAUUAAUUUUAAAUAUAUAU